GCUGGUAGUUACAAAUUAGAAUUUAAAAUUGCAUAUGAUGUAUGUAUAUGUUUAGGAUAUGCUUGAGACCUAAGACCCUCAUUCAAAUUAUAUUAAGUCAUAAUGGUGAAGUAUUAAGAAUACUACCCAUGCCUUCCUUCAUGCUAAGCCAGUAUUAUCUUAAGAACCAUGGUAGGCUUGUUGUGCUAUCCAUAAGACUUGUUGUGGGGACUGUUUUGAUACUGUCUUGGUACAUAAUGAAGCUAAUUGUACUUAGCUCAUACUAG
RNAcentral lists this long non-coding RNA (266 nucleotides) under Elaeis guineensis (African oil palm). Its description in RNAcentral is "long non-coding RNA (EGUI_LNC059629)". Lineage: Eukaryota; Viridiplantae; Streptophyta; Magnoliopsida; Arecales; Arecaceae. The record is from RNAcentral.